This 636-nucleotide ribosomal RNA is filed under the name uncultured bacterium. Its description in RNAcentral is "bacterial SSU rRNA". It matches the Rfam family "Bacterial small subunit ribosomal RNA", at positions 83 to 754 of the family's 1533-position model. The record is from RNAcentral.
CCUUCGGGUCUAGUGGCGCACGGGUGCGUAACGCGUGGGAAUCUACCCUUUGCUACGGAAUAACUCAGAGAAAUUUGUGCUAAUACCGUAUAAUGUCGCAAGACCAAAGAUUUAUCGGCAGAGGACGAGCCCGCGUAAGAUUAGCUUGUUGGUGAGGUAAAGGCUCACCAAGGCGACGAUCUUUAGCUGGUCUGAGAGGAUGAUCAGCCACACUGGGACUGAGACACGGCCCAGACUCCUACGGGAGGCAGCAGUGGGGAAUAUUGGACAAUGGGCGAAAGCCUGAUCCAGCAAUGCCGCGUGAGUGAUGAAGGCCUUAGGGUUGUAAAGCUCUUUUACCAGGGAUGAUAAUGACAGUACCUGGAGAAUAAGCUCCGGCUAACUCCGUGCCAGCAGCCGCGGUAAUACGGAGGGAGCUAGCGUUGUUCGGAAUUACUGGGCGUAAAGCGUGCGUAGGCGGUUAUUCAAGUCAGAGGUGAAAGCCUGGAGCUCAACUCCAGAACUGCCUUUGAAACUAGAUAGCUAGAAUCUUGGAGAGGUUAGUGGAAUUCCGAGUGUAGAGGUGAAAUUCGUAGAUAUUCGGAAGAACACCAGUGGCGAAGGCGACUAACUGGACAAGUAUUGACGCUGAGGUAC